RNAcentral lists this ribosomal RNA (253 nucleotides) under uncultured archaeon. RNAcentral describes it as "partial 16S ribosomal RNA". It matches the Rfam family "Archaeal small subunit ribosomal RNA", at positions 474 to 726 of the family's 1478-position model. The record is from RNAcentral.
CACCAGCGCCACAAGUGGGAACCACGUUUAUUUGGUUUAAAGCGUUCGUAGCCGGUUUGAUAAAUUCUUUGUGAAAUCGUUACCCUUAAUGUAACGACGUGCAGAGGAGACUGUCAAACUUGGAACUGGGAGGGGUUAGGAGUAUGCCUUGGGGAGCGGUAAAAUGUUAUAAUCCAAGGUAGACUACCUUUGGCGAAGGCGCCUAACUAGAACAGAUUCGACGGUGAGGAACGAAAGCUAGGGGAGCGAUCUG